RNAcentral lists this ribosomal RNA (253 nucleotides) under uncultured bacterium. RNAcentral's name for it is "partial 16S ribosomal RNA". It matches the Rfam family "Bacterial small subunit ribosomal RNA", at positions 524 to 776 of the family's 1533-position model. The record is from RNAcentral.
UACGGAGGGAGCUAGCGUUGUUCGGAAUUACUGGGCGUAAAGCGCACGUAGGCGGCUUUGUAAGUUAGAGGUGAAAGCCCGGGGCUCAACUCCGGAACUGCCUUUAAGACUGCAUCGCUUGAAUCCGGGAGAGGUGAGUGGAAUUCCGAGUGUAGAGGUGAAAUGCGUAGAUAUCAGGAGGAACACCGGUGGCGAAGGCGCUCAUCUGGCCCAAUACUGACGCUGAGGCGCGAAAGCUAGGGGAGCAAACGGG